AGUGGGGGAUAUUGCGCAAUGGGGGAAACCCUGACGCAGCGACGCCGCGUGAGCGAAGAAGGCCUUCGGGUUGUAAAGCUCAGUCAUCGGGGACGAAGAGGACGGUACCCGAGGAGGAAGCCCCGGCUAACUACGUGCCAGCAGCCGCGGUAAUACGUAGGGGGCGAGCGUUGUCCGGAAUUACUGGGUGUAAAGGGCGUGUAGGCGGGUAUGCAAGUUAUCGGUAAAAACCCGGGGCUCAACCCCGGGCUUGCCGAUAAAACUGCAUAUCUUGAGUGCAGGAGAGGGGAGUGGAAUUCCCGGUGUAGCGGUAAAAUGCGUAGAUAUCGGGAGGAACACCGGUGGCGAAGGCGGCUCUCUGGGCCGAUCCUGACGCUGAGGCGCGAAAGCUAGGGGAGCGAACCGGAUUAGAUACCCGGGUAGUCCUAGCCGUAAACGAUGGGUGCUAGGUGUUGGGGGGUAAAGACCCUUCAGUGCCGAAGCCAACGCGAUAAGCAUCCCACCUGGGGAGUACGGCCGCAAGGUUGAAACUCAAAGGAAUUGGCGGGGGUCCGCACAAGCGGCGGAGCAUGUGGUUUAAUUCGAUGCUGCCCGAAGAACCUUACCAGGGUUUGACAUGCUGGUGGUAGGAACCUGAAAGGGGGACGACCCAACCGUAAGGGAGGGAGCCAGCACAGGUGUUGCAUGGCUGUCGUCAGCUCGUGCCGUGAGGUGUCGGCUUAAGUGCCGUAACGAGCGCAACCCUCAUCCCUAAUUGCUCCUGACAGGUAAAAGGGUCAGAGCACAAUAGGGAGACCGCUGGCGAAGAGCCAGAGGAAGGGGAGGAUGACGUCAAGUCAGCAUGGCCUUUAUGCCCUGGGCUACACACAUGCUACAAUGCAGGGUACAACGGGAAGCGAAGCCGCGAGGUGGAGCAAAUCCCCAAAAGCCCUGCUCAGUUCGGAUCGCACGCUGCAAUUCGCGUGCGUGAAGUCGGAGUCGCUAGUAACCGUGGAUCAGCAAAGCCGCGGUGAAUACGUUCUCGGGCCUUGCACACACCGCCCGUCAAGCCACCCGAGUCGGGUUCACCAGAAGGCCGGUAACCGAAGAGGGCCGGACGACGGUGUGCCUGGUAAGGAGGGCU
This 1123-nucleotide ribosomal RNA is filed under the name uncultured bacterium. RNAcentral's name for it is "bacterial SSU rRNA". It matches the Rfam family "Bacterial small subunit ribosomal RNA", at positions 353 to 1482 of the family's 1533-position model. The record is from RNAcentral.